GUAGUUAAUACGGAGGAAGGAAGGGGCCACGGCAGGUCAGUAUGCCCCGAAACUCUGGGGCCACACGCGGGCUGCAAUGGUAACGACAAUGUGUUCCAAAUCCGAAAGGAGGCGGUAAUCCUCAAACGUUACCACAGUUAUGACUGAGGGCUGCAACUCGCCCUCACGAAUAUGGAAUCCCUAGUAACUGCGUGUCAUUAUCGCGCGGUGAAUACGUCCCUGCUCCUUGCACACACUGCCCGUCGUUUCAUUGAAGUUUGCUUUUAGCGAGGUGACGUCUAAUUGGCGUUAUCGAACUUGAGGUAAGUGACAAGGGAAAAGUCGUAACAAGGUAACC
Molecule: ribosomal RNA, 337 nt
Filed under: uncultured archaeon
Lineage: Archaea
Description: bacterial SSU rRNA
Rfam family: Archaeal small subunit ribosomal RNA
Source: RNAcentral